AGUAUGCCAAGAAGGUCGGACUUUGCCAGAUGCUUUGUCUUCAUCCAUUGACACGGUCAUAUGGCUUUCUCUUUAAACCUGUUAACGUGAAGAUGGCGUUGCCUGGUUUUUGAAUGUUGAACCAUGGGAAAGCAGGCAAGCAGCUGCAGUCGGCUUCAGCUGUCUCUACCCGCCUCUUCAGAUACAGUGUGUCUACUCAGCUUGGUAGGUCUCCCUCUCACCCAGCCCACACCACAUUGUUCCUUCCCUGAUGUUCCAGUCCCCGGAGACUCAACUCAGUGCGCUGCUCAUCUACA
This is a long non-coding RNA of Meriones unguiculatus (Mongolian gerbil), 296 nucleotides long. RefSeq lists it as uncharacterized. NCBI's taxonomy places the organism in Eukaryota, Metazoa, Chordata, Mammalia, Rodentia, Muridae. The record is from RefSeq and is a predicted model, not a curated record. The transcript is spliced from 3 exons.